This 465-nucleotide ribosomal RNA is filed under the name uncultured bacterium. RNAcentral's name for it is "bacterial SSU rRNA". It matches the Rfam family "Bacterial small subunit ribosomal RNA", at positions 355 to 814 of the family's 1533-position model. The record is from RNAcentral.
UGGGGAAUUGUUCACAAUGGGCGCAAGCCUGAUGACGCAACGCCGCGUGGGGGAUGAAGGUCUUCGGAUUGUAAACCCCUGUCGAAUGGGACGAAAGACUCGCGAGUUAAUACUUCGCGGGAGUGACGGUACCGUUAAAGGAAGCCACGGCUAACUCUGUGCCAGCAGCCGCGGUAAUACAGAGGUGGCAAGCGUUGUUCGGAAUUACUGGGCGUAAAGGGCGCGUAGGCGGCCUACUAAGUCAGACGUGAAAUCCCCCGGCUUAACCUGGGAACUGCGUCUGAUACUGGAAGGCUUGAGUAUGGGAGAGGGAUGUAGAAUUCCAGGUGUAGCGGUGAAAUGCGUAGAUAUCUGGAGGAAUACCGGUGGCGAAGGCGGCAUCCUGGACCAUUACUGACGCUGAGGCGCGAAAGCUAGGGGAGCAAACGGGAUUAGAUACCCCGGUAGUCCCUGAGCGGGCUGGCA